RNAcentral lists this ribosomal RNA (253 nucleotides) under uncultured bacterium. RNAcentral's name for it is "partial 16S ribosomal RNA". It matches the Rfam family "Bacterial small subunit ribosomal RNA", at positions 524 to 776 of the family's 1533-position model. The record is from RNAcentral.
UACAGAGGUCUCAAGCGUUGUCCGGAAUCAUUGGGCGUAAAGAGCGUGUAGGCGGUCCGGUAAGUCCGCUGUGAAAGUCGGGGGCUCAACCCUCGAAUGCCGGUGGAUACUGUCGGGCUAGAGUGCGGAAGAGGCGAGUGGAAUUCCUGGUGUAGCGGUGAAAUGCGCAGAUAUCAGGAGGAACACCUAUUGCGAAGGCAGCUCGCUGGGACGUAACUGACGCUGAGACGCGAAAGCGUGGGGAGCAAACAGG